Molecule: long non-coding RNA, 1430 nt
Organism: Musca domestica (house fly)
Lineage: Eukaryota; Metazoa; Arthropoda; Insecta; Diptera; Muscidae
Exons: 3
Source: RefSeq, a predicted model, not a curated record
CCUGAACACGCGGAAUUGUAGCCUUUGUUGGAGUGCUAAGUGCUUCGCCUCUGGUAUUUGAUACUCACUAUGUGGAUUAUGCGCCGCAGGCCGGCUAUGUAAGACUGUCUGCAUUGGAGGAAUUGCGCCGUAGGCCGGCUUGGGACGGAUACUUCAUCGAAAUUCUUCAUCAACACCAACAACACCAUUUUGAAGGAAGGCGAAGGAAGCAUUGAAGCAACUUAUUCAUGGCAAAGGUGAAAGAAGCUUCUUCAUUCAUUCAUAUGCAUUUCUAUGGAUAAUACUCACUGUCUCAUUGUGAACUACUACAACUAAAUGAACGAGCGAGCUAGCUAACGAAUCCACAUACAUAUAUGUGUUGUGAAAAGAAGCUGUAACUGCAAUACUUCCACUUCCACCAAUUGUCAAUGCAUCGACAACAAAUAAUACAUUGGCUGGACUUGACAAGCAACCACGCAGACUACUAGUAGCCAAGGUAAGGCAAGGCAAGGCAAGGCAUUAGAGUUGAAGACUGACCAAUAGCAAUAGCAAUGGCAAUGGCAAUAGAAAUACCAACACUAAUACCAUUUAGUGGGAUCGAUUUGAACGGAUAUUCUAGUGCAUACAUUGAAGUUGCAGCUGAAAUUGGUGGUGAAGUUGAAGUUGAAAUUGAAGAAAGUAUUGAUGAGACAGCAAGGCAAGGCAACGAGAUGACAAAGGCGAAAGGCAAUUGGCAGUGGCCAUCAAUGGAAGAUGUAAGUGAAAAAGUGAUCGAAUUGUUACGUGAAGGAGUAGUUGUAGUAGAAUUGUUAUUGAUGUUGGUGUUGAUGUUGAUGUUGAUAUUGAUGUUGGUGUUAGCUAUCAAUGUAUAUGCAAUUGUAAAGAGCUGAUGAAGUGAGUGAGCGAGUGUUAGAGUUCCGACACGGUGCAAUAAUGGGAGGCCAUAUGGUGUUGAGCUUUCACGACUACAUGGCUUAUGGCCGUAGUCCGACUAUACCCCCAGAACCACUAAUUAUUCCCGCAACUCCCAACAUUUCGUACUGCUGCUGAAGACUUGGAUGAAUGAAUGCGCAUCUCUACAUCGUACAUCCGGAUUGCCACCUGAACACGCGGAAUUGUAGCCUUUGUUGGAGUGCUAAGUGCUUCGCCUCUGGUAUUUGAUACUCACUAUGUGGAUUAUGCGCCGCAGGCCGGCUAUGUAAGACUGUCUGCAUUGGAGGAAUUGCGCCGUAGGCCGGCUUGGGACGGGUAAGUGUCAAGAAAAAAUGCGCCGCAGGCGGCAAAUUUUUCAGGGUAUAAGUAGAGGCCCGGCAGAGUGACCAAAUUGGGACGGGUUUGUGUGAAGAAGAAAUGCGCCGCAGGCGGCAAAUUUUUCAGGGUAUAAAUAGAGGCCCGGCAGGUAGACAAAAUUGCUGGUGAGGACCUUUUUUUUUUUUUUUUUUUUUUUUUUU